UACAGAGGUCUCAAGCGUUGUUCGGAUUCAUUGGGCGUAAAGGGUGCGUAGGUGGCGAGGUAAGUUGGAUGUGAAAUCCCGGGGCUCAACCCCGGAACUGCAUUCAAUACUGCCUUGCUUGAGUACUGGAGAGGAGAUUGGAAUUUACGGUGUAGCAGUGAAAUGCGUAGAUAUCGUAAGGAAGACCAGUGGCGAAGGCGGAUCUCUGGACAGUUACUGACACUGAGGCACGAAGGCCAGGGGAGCAAACGGG
Molecule: ribosomal RNA, 253 nt
Filed under: uncultured bacterium
Lineage: Bacteria
Also listed under: 1 other name
Description: partial 16S ribosomal RNA
Rfam family: Bacterial small subunit ribosomal RNA
Source: RNAcentral